This 1444-nucleotide ribosomal RNA is filed under the name uncultured organism. RNAcentral describes it as "SSU rRNA". It matches the Rfam family "Bacterial small subunit ribosomal RNA". The record is from RNAcentral.
CGCUAGCUACAGGCUUAACACAUGCAAGUCGAGGGGCAGCAUGGUCUUAGCUUGCUAAGGCCGAUGGCGACCGGCGCACGGGUGAGUAACACGUAUCCAACCUGCCGUCUACUCUUGGACAGCCUUCUGAAAGGAAGAUUAAUACAAGAUGGCAUCAUGAGUCCGCAUGUUCACAUGAUUAAAGGUAUUCCGGUAGACGAUGGGGAUGCGUUCCAUUAGAUAGUAGGCGGGGUAACGGCCCACCUAGUCUUCGAUGGAUAGGGGUUCUGAGAGGAAGGUCCCCCACAUUGGAACUGAGACACGGUCCAAACUCCUACGGGAGGCAGCAGUGAGGAAUAUUGGUCAAUGGGCGAGAGCCUGAACCAGCCAAGUAGCGUGAAGGAUGACUGCCCUAUGGGUUGUAAACUUCUUUUAUAAAGGAAUAAAGUCGGGUAUGGAUACCCGUUUGCAUGUACUUUAUGAAUAAGGAUCGGCUAACUCCGUGCCAGCAGCCGCGGUAAUACGGAGGAUCCGAGCGUUAUCCGGAUUUAUUGGGUUUAAAGGGAGCGUAGAUGGAUGUUUAAGUCAGUUGUGAAAGUUUGCGGCUCAACCGUAAAAUUGCAGUUGAUACUGGAUAUCUUGAGUGCAGUUGAGGCAGGCGGAAUUCGUGGUGUAGCGGUGAAAUGCUUAGAUAUCACGAAGAACUCCGAUUGCGAAGGCAGCCUGCUAAGCUGCAACUGACAUUGAGGCUCGAAAGUGUGGGUAUCAAACAGGAUUAGAUACCCUGGUAGUCCACACGGUAAACGAUGAAUACUCGCUGUUUGCGAUAUACUGCAAGCGGCCAAGCGAAAGCGUUAAGUAUUCCACCUGGGGAGUACGCCGGCAACGGUGAAACUCAAAGGAAUUGACGGGGGCCCGCACAAGCGGAGGAACAUGUGGUUUAAUUCGAUGAUACGCGAGGAACCUUACCCGGGCUUAAAUUGCAGAUGAAUUACGGUGAAAGCCGUAAGCCGCAAGGCAUCUGUGAAGGUGCUGCAUGGUUGUCGUCAGCUCGUGCCGUGAGGUGUCGGCUUAAGUGCCAUAACGAGCGCAACCCUUGUUGUCAGUUACUAACAGGUUCCGCUGAGGACUCUGGCAAGACUGCCAUCGUAAGAUGUGAGGAAGGUGGGGAUGACGUCAAAUCAGCACGGCCCUUACGUCCGGGGCUACACACGUGUUACAAUGGGGGGUACAGAGGGCCGCUACCACGCGAGUGGAUGCCAAUCCCCAAAACCUCUCUCAGUUCGGACUGGAGUCUGCAACCCGACUCCACGAAGCUGGAUUCGCUAGUAAUCGCGCAUCAGCCACGGCGCGGUGAAUACGUUCCCGGGCCUUGUACACACCGCCCGUCAAGCCAUGGGAGCCGGGGGUACCUGAAGUGCGUAACCGCGAGGAGCGCCCUAGGGUAAAACUGGUGACUGGGGCU